Molecule: long non-coding RNA, 3302 nt
Organism: Uranotaenia lowii
Lineage: Eukaryota; Metazoa; Arthropoda; Insecta; Diptera; Culicidae
Exons: 5
Source: RefSeq, a predicted model, not a curated record
UCAAAAUAAUCUUCCUGCUCUUCGUCUUCGAUGUCCACUUUUCCUUCGUCCUUAUCAAUUUCGGGUUUCCUUCCUUUCUUUAUCUUCGUUCGCAUCACAUCGUGCUGUAACUCGUCGUCAGAUAGAUCAACUUCAUUGUUGUAAGAGUUAGGAUCUAGAUCAUCAGUGCUGUUCAAAGCUUCCUGAUUCUUUUUCGAUCGCCCUUUAACCACGUUGGCAAUUUUGUCGUCCACCUUGCCCCGAUUUUUCUUCUUCACAAACUUCAUCAAAUCGUCCCAAGUGUCGUGAUUGUACUCCGUAACGGACGAAACAAAUUUGAAGUUGUUGUCAAAAUCUCCUUUUUUCUGGUUCUUCAGCUUGGUUGGUUGAUACUGAAAGGUGUAGAAUGGUAGUAUGAAUUUCAAAUAAAUUUUAAAUCUAACGAAUUUAACAAUUUUAUCAUAUUAAAUAUUAUCAAAAAAAUAAUCGACUACUGGGCAUGGCUUUAUGGAACGAUAGGUCCGAGCCAAUAUAUACAGAGAAAAAAAAAGACUACUGGGCAAACAGAAUGUUAUGAUCUCCGACUCGAUCCGGCGAAGAAAAGCUUAUAGAACAUUGUGAUAGGUUCACAUUCGACUAUUGCCUGGUAGUUUAAUGUUAAUUGUUAGAAGUCCUUAAUUUUUUUCCUUGGCCGUUUUUGAAUUUUUACUACUGUGAUUAAGAAGUCAUUUUUAUAACACCACCUUCUCUUUAAACAAAUUAUAAAAAUCAUUCGGUGUUUAUCCCCCUUUAUCCCUCUUUAGGCAUAGGUACAAGAAAUGGAUCAGUUUCAACUCACCUCGACUUCGACGUCGGAAUCCUCCGAAAAGUCCUGUACUUCAUCGGUUUCGUUGAUGGUUUUUAUUAAAUCCAGACUAUUUUGCUCCUUGCCGGGCACCGGGUCUACGGUUUUAGCAUCCACGGACGCUUUCAUUUUGGGAUUUUUAAAUCGCAUCCUCGCUUGCUGCUUGCCGAGCACGUGUGUUUACAAAAUUUUUGAAACCGCAACUGGCGGCGAGAUGGACCGAAUUUUGACUGACAGAUACCCUGUCAGGAAGGUUUGCUCAAUCGGGCCGAUUGCAAAACAGAGAUGGCGGCACUCGAAUUCUAGCGGUUAGAAUUCGGUACAUUUUCGGCUCGAUUUCCAUCCGUCUGCUCGAUUGCUCGAAAUCUAAACGGUAUGUUUAUUUUUUGCAAAGCGCAUCGGCUGUACGAAAACGAACCAACGAGAAAACUGUCGUGUCGGUCUGGUUUCGUCGCAAUGCGAAUCAUUAUAAUACUGAAAAUAAAUGGAAAAUUACAGUUUUCUUUAUCAGUUUUUGUUAUAUUAUUGUUUGCUGAGGGCGGAAAGUCUAUCAGCUGGUAUCAACGGGUCACUUUAUUAAGUUUAUAGGUCGUAAGCCGAAAUUGAAUAUUCGAAUGGGUAAGUCGAAGCCGCCAUUUGCGGAAAGUCACAGAAAAAUCCCCUGCUAAAUUUUCUUAUUUUUAUUUUAGACAGCGGAAAUGCUCUCUUGCUUGGAAGCAUGGAACUGUUCCAAGCGGCAGGAAAUCAGUACCGCACCCAAAUUAUAUUGCCGAGUAGAACGAUACUUUCAUUUUUUUAACUACAAAUUUUGUUAAUACAAAGAUCGCACUCUUCUGGAACAAUUCCAGCGGAUCAAUUGUCUGGACUCAAGUUAAACUACAUGACGGUGGUUCUGUUUGCCUGCAACCUCUGACCUGAAUUCGGAUAAUAUGAGCGUAUUGUUUCGGCGCGGUGAAGCCAACAAUCAGCUGGAGAACUACGAGCUGGCCAUCGACGAUUUGCACCGGGCUCAAGACCAGAUGUUAUGUCGGACAAUCAGCAUUAGGAUUCGUAAAUUUUGCAGAACAAGGAAAAGAGCGAAUCGAAGGAAAACGCAGCGAUUGCCAAACGCGAUUCUGAGUCAGAAUAAUCGGCUAAAGUUUCACUGUUUGAUUUCCUGGUAGAUAUCCUGCCAUGAUAUAUAAAUAUGAAGAUAUAUGAUCUCGGAGAAAAAAGACGACUGUUGUUCCUAUUAUUCCAGCUAGUUGAAUGAAUCAUCUAAGUGUAGUUGAUUAUUUUGCAUUUAACUAUAAAUAUAAAAUAUUCAACUACAAACUGCUAAUUGGCUUUAGGCAACCAAUCGUAAAUAUAAUAGAUUCAACUGAAGAUGGUUCAAUCAAAAAUCUGAUAGAUUUUACUACAAUUGUAUGAUUGAUUUUAGGCAUUCAACUAUAAAUUUGUGAUUGAACUUCUGCAUUAAAGUAUAGAUAUGAUAGAUUCCACUGCAAGGAUCUAAUUGAUUUUACUUUAAAUAUAACAUAUUACACUACAAUUGUAUGAUUGAUUUCGGGUACACAAGUAUAAAUGUGAUACAUUUAACAAUAUUUUAUGAUAAAUUGUGAUAAUACUUUUUUUAAUUAGAAACAUUUUUCUUAACGAUGAGCAUUCUUCCAUGAGCGUGUAGUGGGUGCUGACGGUGUACAGGAAAAAAAACAACCAGAAAACGAUGGCGGGUCCCUGGCAGAUGUGUUCGCAAUCAUUGGACGUGCUAGCAACAGCAGGCUACAUCGAAUUCUCCGUUUCUCAGUACCGGGAACCGGCGAAGAUAACUACAAAAAAUAUCGAUGCACUGACUGCUGGCCAAACUGAAGAAAUUCCGGCAAGAUUCGACCCAUCCCAACCCAGUUAAUAAUGAUCCCGAAUGCUGAUCCAGCUGGAGAACCAGUGAACCAACACCUCAACUCAUUCCAAAAUAUGUUACUUGGCCGGAUGAGAACGAAAUGCCAUAUCUCACCCGGAAAUGAAGAAGGCUUUCGUUCCCGCUUACCAUCAGGCAUUUCAAUAUUUUCACAAGAUUUCCGGGAGGAAGCGAAAUGCGGAUGGUAAAACAGAGGAAGUUUUGGAUGUUCCCUCACCCAAAAAGGCUGAAGUAAAUGCGACAGGUUUAAAGUUGUUUCUUGGCCUACUGCCCACCGCCAAAUAGAACAACAAGAAAGUCAAUGGCUGAAAUGAUCAGGUACCUAAAGAUAUUCCGGUCGCAAGAUGUCAUGCUUAUCAGACAACACAUUUCUGAUUUGGGACAAACACCGCAGCCUCGACAAUCCGGCGGUAUAGUCACACACCACGACGAUAUAGUCACCCGAUUGAAAAACGUCCAACUGAUAGAACUGGGCAAGUAUCGCAUCAAACCUGGGCAUCAAUAGAAUUCCUACCUAAAAAGCUAGGUUUUGUGAAAUGAGAAAAAAAAACAAAACAACAAUGUAUCAUUGAAUUCAAAAUU